GACGAACGCUGGCGGCGUGCUUAACACAUGCAAGUCGAACGGAAAGGCCUGCUUUCCCUUGUGGAUUGCGGGUACUCGAGUGGCGAACGGGUGAGUAACACGUGAGUGAUCUGCCCCCAACUUGGGUAUAAGCCUGGGAAACUGGGUCUAAUUCCCGAUAGGACUGCAGGGUGGUGCCUGUGGUGGAAAACGAUUUUCUAGUGGUUGGGGAUGAGCUCGCGGCCUAUCAGCUUGUUGGUGGGGUAAUGGCCUACCAAGGCGGCGACGGGUAGCCGGCCUGGGAGGGUGGACGGCCACAUUGGGACUGAGAUACGGCCCAGACUCCUACGGGAGGCAGCAGGGGGGAAUAUUGCACAAUGGGCGGAAGCCUGAUGCAGCGACGCCGCGUGGGGGAUGACGGGCUUCGGGUUGUAAACUCCUUUCGACCGCGAGGAAGCCACCUGGUUGGAAGGGUGGUGACGGUAGUGGUAGAAGAAGCACCGGCUAACUACGUG
This 494-nucleotide ribosomal RNA is filed under the name uncultured bacterium. RNAcentral's name for it is "partial 16S ribosomal RNA". It matches the Rfam family "Bacterial small subunit ribosomal RNA", at positions 28 to 507 of the family's 1533-position model. The record is from RNAcentral.